RNAcentral lists this ribosomal RNA (492 nucleotides) under uncultured bacterium. Its description in RNAcentral is "partial 16S ribosomal RNA". It matches the Rfam family "Bacterial small subunit ribosomal RNA", at positions 29 to 507 of the family's 1533-position model. The record is from RNAcentral.
AGUGAACGCUGGCGGUAGGCCUAACACAUGCAAGUCGAACGGCAGCACAGUAAGCGCUCGCUAUUACGGGUGGCGACUGGCGGACGGGUGAGGAAUACAUCGGAAUCUACUUUUUCGGGGGGGAUAACGUAGAGAAACUUACGCUAAUACCGCAUACGACCUACGGGUGAAAGCAGGGGAUCUUCGGGCCUUGCGCGAUUGAAUGAGCCGAUGUCGGAUUAGCUAGUUGGCGGGGUAAAGGACCAACAAGGCGACGAUCCGUAGCCGAUCUGAGAAGGUGAACGGCCAAAGUGGGACUGAGACAAGGGUCUAACUCCCUCGGGAAGACGCAGUGGGGAAUGUUCUGAAAUUGGCGGAAGCCUGACGCCGCCAAGCCGCGUGAGUGAAGAAAGUCUUCGGAGCGUAAAACCCUUUUGUUGGGGAAGAAAAAGUGACAGGGUAACUCCCCGAGUUUUGAAGGUACCCAAAAAGAAAGCCACGGCUAACUACGUG